ACAAUGGUGGUUCAGUGGUAAAAGUCUCAUCUCCAAUGUGAGAGACCUGGGUUAGAUUCCCGGCCAAUGCA
RNAcentral lists this transfer RNA (71 nucleotides) under Loxodonta africana (African savanna elephant). It matches the Rfam family "tRNA". Rfam says of the family: Transfer RNA (tRNA) molecules are approximately 80 nucleotides in length. The record is from Rfam by way of RNAcentral. Lineage: Eukaryota; Metazoa; Chordata; Mammalia; Proboscidea; Elephantidae.